Molecule: unclassified non-coding RNA, 333 nt
Filed under: fungal sp.
Lineage: Eukaryota; Fungi
Description: partial internal transcribed spacer region
Rfam family: Eukaryotic small subunit ribosomal RNA (bases 1-46)
Source: RNAcentral
AAGUCGUAACAAGGUUUCCGUAGGUGAACCUGCGGAAGGAUCAUUAACACGUAUCCAACGUUAAACCCCCCGUGAACCUUCAUUGUGCUCCCCUGGUAAAUCAUCGCCGAACAGUUUUGAUUCAGGGACCUCUGCAUGGAGUGGGCAGCAGCGCGAGGCAAGUGGCCUGGCAUUCGAAAGAAUGGCGCAGUAACGAUCGCUAGAGGCCGACACGGCCGGCGACCGGGUCACUGGGCUCACGCCCCCCUAUCACCUUUGCAUGAAAACGGGCCUGCGCUUAAUUGUGCGGCCACCAAACUCGAACAACUGUUAACAAUGGAUAUCUUGGUUCUC